This 876-nucleotide ribosomal RNA is filed under the name uncultured archaeon. RNAcentral's name for it is "bacterial SSU rRNA". It matches the Rfam family "Archaeal small subunit ribosomal RNA", at positions 21 to 903 of the family's 1478-position model. The record is from RNAcentral.
CCUGACUGCUAUCGGAUUGGUACUAAGCCAUGUGAGUCGUUGUAGCAAUACAAGGCAUACGGCUCAGUAACACGUAGUCAAUCUAACCUAUGGACGGGGAUAACCUCGGGAAACUGAGGAUAAACCCCGAUAGAUCAUUAUGCCUGGAACGGUUUAUGGUCCAAAUGAUUCGUCGCCGUAGGAUGGGACUGCGGCCUAUCAGCUUGUUGGUGAGGUAAUGGCCCACCAAGGCUAUUACAGGUACGGGCUCUGAGAGGAGAAGCCCGGAGAUGGGUACUGAGACACGGACCCAGGCCCUAUGGGGCGCAGCAGGCGAGAAACCUUUGCAAUGUGCGCAAGCACGACAAGGUUAAUCCGAGUGUUUCCUGCUUAAGGAAUCUUUUGUUAGUUGUAAAACCACUGAUGAAUAAGGGGUGGGCAAGUUCUGGUGUCAGCCGCCGCGGUAAAACCAGCACCUCAAGUGGUCAGGAUGAUUAUUGGGCCUAAAGCAUCCGUAGCCUGUUCUAUAAGUUUCCGGUUAAAUCCAUUAGCUCAACUAAUGGGCUGCCGAAAAUACUGUAGAACUAGGAAGUGGGAGAGGUAGACGGUACUCGGUAGGAAGGGGUAAAAUCCUUUGAUCUAUUGAUGACCACCUGUGGCGAAGGCGGUCUACCAGAACACGUUCGACGGUGAGGGAUGAAAGCUGGGGGAGCAAACCGGAUUAGAUACCCGGGUAGUCCCAGCUGUAAACGAUGCAGACUCGGUGAUGCCCUGGCUUGUGGCCAGUGCAGUGCCGCAGGGAAGCCGUUAAGUUUGCCGCCUGGGAAGUACGUACGCAAGUAUGAAACUUAAAGGAAUUGGCGGGGGAGCACCACCAAGGGGUGAAGCCUGCGGUUC